GAUGAACGCUAGCGGCAGGCCUAACACAUGCAAGUCGAGGGGUAGAAGGAGCUUGCUCCUUUGAGACCGGCGCACGGGUGCGUAACGCGUAUGCAAUCUACCUUAUACAGGGGAAUAGCCCAGAGAAAUUUGGAUUAAUGCCCCAUGGUAUUAUAGAAUGGCAUCAUUUUAUAAUUAAAGUUCCAACGGUAUAAGAUGAGCAUGCGUCCCAUUAGUUAGUUGGUAAGGUAACGGCUUACCAAGACUAUGAUGGGUAGGGGUCCUGAGAGGGAGAUCCCCCACACUGGUACUGAGACACGGACCAGACUCCUACGGGAGGCAGCAGUGAGGAAUAUUGGUCAAUGGACGCAAGUCUGAACCAGCCAUGCCGCGUGCAGGAAGAAGCAUCUAUGGUGUGUAAACUGCUUUUAUACAGGAAGAAACAACGCUACGUGUAGCGUCUUGACGGUACUGUAAGAAUAAGGACCGGCUAACUCCGUGCCAGCAGCCGCGGUAAUACGGAGGGUCCAAGCGUUAUCCGGAAUCAUUGGGUUUAAAGGGUCCGUAGGCGGCCUUAUAAGUCAGUGGUGAAAUCUCCUAGCUCAACUAGGAAACUGCCAUUGAUACUGUAGGGCUUGAAUUUUUGUGAAGUAACUAGAAUAUGUAGUGUAGCGGUGAAAUGCUUAGAUAUUACUUAGAACACCAAUUGCGAAGGCAGGUCACUAAGAUUUAACUGACGCUGAUGGACGAAAGCGUGGGUAGCGAACAGGAUUAGAUACCCUGGUAGUCCACGCCGUAAACGAUGCUAACUCGUUUUUGGGCACUUGUGCUCAGAGACCAAGCGAAAGUGAUAAGUUAGCCACCUGGGGAGUACGAUCGCAAGAUUGAAACUCAAAGGAAUUGACGGGGGCCCGCACAAGCGGUGGAUUAUGUGGUUUAAUUCGAUGAUACGCGAGGAACCUUACCAAGACUUAAAUGGGAAUUGACAGAUUUAGAAAUAGAUCCUCCUUCGGGCAAUUUUCAAGGUGCUGCAUGGUUGUCGUCAGCUCGUGCCGUGAGGUGUUAGGUUAAGUCCUGCAACGAGCGCAACCCCUGUCACUAGUUGCUACCAUUAAGUUGAGGACUCUAGUGAGACUGCCUACGCAAGUAGAGAGGAAGGUGGGGAUGACGUCAAAUCAUCACGGCCCUUACGUCUUGGGCCACACACGUAAUACAAUGGCCGGUACAGAGGGCAGCUACACAGCGAUGUGAUGCGAAUCUCGAAAGCCGGUCUCAGUUCGGAUUGGAGUCUGCAACUCGACUCUAUGAAGCUGGAAUCGCUAGUAAUCGCGCAUCAGCCAUGGCGCGGUGAAUACGUUCCCGGGCCUUGUACACACCGCCCGUCAAGCCAUGGAAGCUGGGGGUACCUGAAGUCGGUGACCGUAAAAGGAGCUGCCUAGGGUAAAACUGGUAACUAGGGCUA
Molecule: ribosomal RNA, 1441 nt
Filed under: uncultured bacterium
Lineage: Bacteria
Description: bacterial SSU rRNA
Rfam family: Bacterial small subunit ribosomal RNA
Source: RNAcentral